UAGGGAAUCUUCCACAAUGGGCGAAAGCCUGAUGGAGCAACGCCGCGUGUGUGAUGAAGGGUUUCGGCUCGUAAAACACUGUUGUAAGAGAAGAAUGACAUUGAGAGUAACUGUUCAAUGUGUGACGGUAUCUUACCAGAAAGGAGCGGCUAAAUACGUACCAG
RNAcentral lists this ribosomal RNA (164 nucleotides) under uncultured bacterium. RNAcentral's name for it is "partial 16S rRNA". It matches the Rfam family "Bacterial small subunit ribosomal RNA", at positions 355 to 511 of the family's 1533-position model. The record is from RNAcentral.